AAUAGAUACCCUGGUAGUCCACGCCGUAAACGAUGAGUGCUAAGUGUUAGGGGGUUUCCGCCCCUUAGUGCUGCAGCUAACGCAUUAAGCACUCCGCCUGGGGAGUACGGUCGCAAGACUGAAACUCAAAGGAAUUGACGGGGGCCCGCACAAGCGGUGGAGCAUGUGGUUUAAUUCGAAGCAACGCGAAGAACCUUACCAGGUCUUGACAUCCCACUGACCGCUAUGGAGACAUAGUUUUCCCUUCGGGGACAGUGGUGACAGGUGGUGCAUGGUUGUCGUCAGCUCGUGUCGUGAGAUGUUGGGUUAAGUCCCGCAACGAGCGCAACCCUUGAUCUUAGUUGCCAUCAUUUAGUUGGGCACUCUAAGGUGACUGCCGGUGACAAACCGGAGGAAGGUGGGGAUGACGUCAAAUCAUCAUGCCCCUUAUGACCUGGGCUACACACGUGCUACAAUGGACGGUACAAACGGUUGCCAACCCGCGAGGGGAGCUAAUCCGAUAAACGUNUCUNUGUGUNUG
This 520-nucleotide ribosomal RNA is filed under the name uncultured bacterium. RNAcentral's name for it is "bacterial SSU rRNA". It matches the Rfam family "Bacterial small subunit ribosomal RNA", at positions 777 to 1296 of the family's 1533-position model. The record is from RNAcentral.